This 478-nucleotide ribosomal RNA is filed under the name uncultured bacterium. Its description in RNAcentral is "bacterial SSU rRNA". It matches the Rfam family "Bacterial small subunit ribosomal RNA", at positions 24 to 518 of the family's 1533-position model. The record is from RNAcentral.
UCAGGACGAACGCUGGCGGCGUGCUUAACACAUGCAAGUCGAGCGAUGAAGCUUCUUCGGAAGUGGAUUAGCGGCGGACGGGUGAGUAACACGUGGGUAACCUGCCUCAUAGAGGGGAAUAGCCUUCCGAAAGGAAGAUUAAUACCGCAUAAGAUUGUAAUAUCGCAUGAUAUAACAAUUAAAGGAGUAAUCCGCUAUGAGAUGGACCCGCGUCGCAUUAGCUAGUUGGUGAGGUAACGGCUCACCAAGGCGACGAUGCGUAGCCGACCUGAGAGGGUGAUCGGCCACAUUGGGACUGAGACACGGCCCAGACUCCUACGGGAGGCAGCAGUGGGGAAUAUUGCACAAUGGGGGAAACCCUGAUGCAAGCAACGCCGCGUGAGUGAUGACGGUCUUCGGAUUGUAAAGCUCUGUCUUCAGGGACGAUAAUGACGGUACCUGAGGAGGAAGCCACGGCUAACUACGUGCCAGCCGCGGC